Molecule: non-coding RNA, 25 nt
Filed under: Cricetulus griseus (Chinese hamster)
Lineage: Eukaryota; Metazoa; Chordata; Mammalia; Rodentia; Cricetidae
Source: RNAcentral
GAACUCCAGUCAUCAGACAGUAAGC